GAGGGUAGAGCUCAGUGGUAGAGCACAUGCUUAGCAUGCAGGAGGUCCUGGGUUCAAUCCCCAGUACCUCCU
This 72-nucleotide transfer RNA is filed under the name Camelus bactrianus (Bactrian camel). It matches the Rfam family "tRNA". Rfam says of the family: Transfer RNA (tRNA) molecules are approximately 80 nucleotides in length. Their secondary structure includes four short double-helical elements and three loops (D, anti-codon, and T loops). Lineage: Eukaryota; Metazoa; Chordata; Mammalia; Artiodactyla; Camelidae. RNAcentral also lists the same sequence under 2 other names. The record is from Rfam by way of RNAcentral.